UCUUCAUUUCGCGUGCUCUCUCAUCGGUCAAAGUGGCGAGAAAACACGCGAAAUGAAGAGA
Molecule: microRNA precursor, 61 nt
Filed under: Pristionchus pacificus
Lineage: Eukaryota; Metazoa; Nematoda; Chromadorea; Rhabditida; Neodiplogasteridae
Description: mir-8364 microRNA precursor family
Rfam family: mir-8364 microRNA precursor family
Source: Rfam by way of RNAcentral